Molecule: ribosomal RNA, 468 nt
Filed under: uncultured bacterium
Lineage: Bacteria
Description: partial 16S ribosomal RNA
Rfam family: Bacterial small subunit ribosomal RNA
Source: RNAcentral
GACGAACGCUGGCGGCGUGCUUAACACAUGCAAGUCGAACGGAAAGGCCCUGCUUUUGUGGGGUGCUCGAGUGGCGAACGGGUGAGUAACACGUGAGUAACCUGCCCUUGACUUUGGGAUAACUUCAGGAAACUGGGGCUAAUACCGGAUAGGAGCUCCUGCUGCAUGGUGGGGGUUGGAAAGUUUCGGCGGUUGGGGAUGGACUCGCGGCUUAUCAGCUUGUUGGUGGGGUAGUGGCUUACCAAGGCUUUGACGGGUAGCCGGCCUGAGAGGGUGAACGGCCACAUUGGGACUGAGAUACGGCCCAGAAUCCUACGGGAGGCAGCAGUGGAGAAUAUUGCACAAUGGGCGGAAGCCUGAUGCAGCAACGCCGCGUGCGGAAUGACGGCCUUCGGGUUGUAAACCGCUUUCGCCUGUGACGAAGCGUGCGUGACGGUAAUGGGUAAAGAAGCACCGGCUAACUACGUG